AGCUCCAAUAGCGUAUAUUUAAGUUGUUGCAGUUAAAAAGCUUGUAGUUGGAUCUUGGGUCGUAAAGGUCGGUCCGCCUACUCGGUGUGCACCUGCCCUUCCGUCCCUUUUGUCGGCGGCGUGCUCCUGGCCUUAGUUGGCUGGGUCUCAGCUCCGGCGCUGUUACUUUGAAAAAAUUAGAGUGCUCAAAGCAAGCUUAUGCUCUGAAUACAUUAGCAUGGAAUAACGUGAUAGGAGUCUGGUCCUAUUGUGUUGGCCUUCGGGACCGGAGUAAUUAUUAAUAGGGACUGUCGGGGGAAUUCGUAUUUCAUUGUCAGAGGUGAAAUUCUUGGAUUUAUGAAAGACGGACCACUGCGAAAGCAUUUGCCAAGGAUGUUUUCAUUAAUCAAGAACGAAAGUA
This 400-nucleotide ribosomal RNA is filed under the name phytoplankton environmental sample. Its description in RNAcentral is "partial small subunit ribosomal RNA". It matches the Rfam family "Eukaryotic small subunit ribosomal RNA", at positions 587 to 991 of the family's 1831-position model. The record is from RNAcentral.